CGAGGACCAAAUCUCGUAAGGCUAAAUACUCUUUCUAACCGAUAGCGCAUAGUACCGUGAGGGAAAGGUGAAAAGAACCCCGGGAGGGGAGUGAAAGAGAACCUGAAAUUGUGUGCUUACAAGCGGUCAGAGCCACUUCGGUGGUGAUGGCGUGCCUUUUGGAGAAUGAUCCUGCGAGUUACGUUUCAUGGCGAGGUUAAGAAGAACGGAGCCGAAGGGAAACCGAGUCUGAAUAGGGCGCAAGAGUCGUGGAGC
This 255-nucleotide ribosomal RNA is filed under the name Fusobacterium necrophorum. RNAcentral describes it as "partial 23S ribosomal RNA". It matches the Rfam family "Bacterial large subunit ribosomal RNA", at positions 447 to 708 of the family's 2925-position model. The record is from RNAcentral. Lineage: Bacteria; Fusobacteriati; Fusobacteriota; Fusobacteriia; Fusobacteriales; Fusobacteriaceae.